This 749-nucleotide ribosomal RNA is filed under the name uncultured bacterium. RNAcentral's name for it is "bacterial SSU rRNA". It matches the Rfam family "Bacterial small subunit ribosomal RNA", at positions 65 to 812 of the family's 1533-position model. The record is from RNAcentral.
GACGGUAUCUUUGGAUACGUGGCGAACGGGUGAGUAACACGUAGGGAACCUGGCCAUACCUGGGGGAUAAUUUCUGGAAACGGAAACUAAUACCGCAUGGGUUUUGCUUAAGCCUUUAAGCGAAAUGAAAGAAGCGCGAGACGCUUCGGGGAUGGAUGGUCCUGCGCUGCAUUAGCUGGCUGGUGAGGCAACGGCUCACCAGGGCGAUGAUGCAUAGCCGGCCUGAGAGGGCGGACGGCCACACUGGGACUGAGACACGGCCCAGACUCCUGCGGGAGGCAGCAGUAGGGAAUUUUCGUCAAUGGGGGCAACCCUGAACGAGCAAUGCCGCGUGAGCGAAGAAGGUCUUCGGAUUGUAAAGCUCUGUUGCCGGGGAAAAAGGAAGGAAAGAGGAAAUGCUUUUCUUUGGAUGGUACCCGGCCAGAAAGUCACGGCUAACUACGUGCCAGCAGCCGCGGUAAUACGUAGGUGGCAAGCGUUAUCCGGAAUGAUUGGGCGUAAAGGGUGAGCAGGCGGUUCUUCAAGUCAUGAGUGAAAGGCAGAAGCUUAACUUCUGUUGGCUGAUGAGACUGGAGAACUUGAGUACAGGAGAGGGCGGCGGAACUCCAUGUGUAGCGGUAAAAUGCGUAGAGAUAUGGAAGAACACCAGUGGCGAAGGCGGCCGCCUGGACUGAAACUGACGCUCAGGCACGAAAGCGUGGGGAGCAAAUAGGAUUAGAUACCCUAGUAGUCCACGCCGUAAACGAUGA